AUAGCAUUUCACUACCCCGACGUUAAGCUCCGUCAACACUUUUGGUCCCCCGCCAGUUUUCCAUCCAAAAACUAACGACUUUGGGGACUAAAAGUGCAAUUGAACUCAAAAAUUAAUUAAAAAAAUAGAAAAACAUUAAAAGCCCUGCAAACCCUUGAUCUUCAUCUUCUUCCUCAAUCAUCUUCAAAUUCAGAACUGAAAUUCACACAAAAAAGAGGUAAUAUGACAUUGCAAGAACCAUACCACUACCAGUAGGGAGAAAGUAAAGAAAAAGAAAAUAAAAAUAUCAGCACAUAACAUACCCAUUCCUACACAUUGGCCAUGUAGGGAGGCCAAUAAUAGUGUGGGCAUCUUCGAGCAGCUCAACAACUAUCGCCCAGUAAACAGAACUUGAAGAAACCUUCAUGUGAUUAGAGUUGAUUUGUGCAUAGGAGAGGGUUUUUCCUACCCAUAAAAUGAAGAAUAAACCCAGAAAAAUAACCUCAUCAACCCACAUCAAAAAACCAAUAUUUAUCAAAACCCAAACGAAAUUUAUCACAAAAGAUGAAGCAGAGACCCAAGUCGUUCCAGAUCCAGAUCCUUGUUCUAUACACCAAAUCGAAAUGACCCAAAACCUACAGUCACCACCGCGUCGUCACAGCUUCCACCCUCAUACAUAUAUCUAACGUACCUGUACCCCUGUUUUUUUUAAAAUCGCGUACCGCGUACCCAAU
This 713-nucleotide long non-coding RNA is filed under the name Lotus japonicus. RNAcentral describes it as "long non-coding RNA (LJAP_LNC001041)". Lineage: Eukaryota; Viridiplantae; Streptophyta; Magnoliopsida; Fabales; Fabaceae. The record is from RNAcentral.